Homo sapiens (human) is the source of this 269-nucleotide long non-coding RNA. The record is from Ensembl. NCBI's taxonomy places the organism in Eukaryota, Metazoa, Chordata, Mammalia, Primates, Hominidae.
GUGGGGCUGGAGGCUGUGGUUGGGGCAAAGCGCCAGUAAUGGAGAAGCAGAGCCCAGCGCUUGGUGUGACGGGGUCCCAGGUAGUCGGAUCAUGAAUGGAAUGACACACUCUGAACCGAAGAGACCUUACAGAUCAUCUAGUUCUCCAGCCUUGAAGAUGGGGAAACUGAGGCUCAAGGAAGGCAUGUAAACAGCAACCUCGGGAUUCCAUUUAAAUUCUGCCUCUCUGGAUCUGCUUCCUGAUAUAUAAAAUGGUAAUAACCACCCUG